GUGAGGAAUAUUGGACAAUGGGCGCAAGCCUGAUCCAGCCAUGCCGCGUGCAGGAAGACGCAUCUAUGGUGUGUAAACUGCUUUUGUACGGGAAGAAACACUCCCUCGUGAGGGAGCUUGACGGUACCGUAAGAAUAAGGAUCGGCUAACUCCGUGCCAGCAGCCGCGGUAAUACGGAGGAUCCAAGCGUUAUCCGGAAUCAUUGGGUUUAAAGGGUCCGUAGGCGGUUUAAUAAGUCAGUGGUGAAAGCCCAUCGCUCAACGAUCGAACGGCCAUUGAUACUGUUAGACUUGAAUUACAAGGAAGUAACUAGAAUAUGUAGUGUAGCGGUGAAAUGCUUAGAUAUUACAUGGUAUACCAAUUGCGAAGGCAGGUUACUACUUGUGGAUUGACGCUGAUGGACGAAAGCGUGGGGAGCGAACAGGAUUAGAUACCCGUGUAGUCC
This 445-nucleotide ribosomal RNA is filed under the name uncultured bacterium. RNAcentral describes it as "partial 16S ribosomal RNA". It matches the Rfam family "Bacterial small subunit ribosomal RNA", at positions 354 to 796 of the family's 1533-position model. The record is from RNAcentral.